Molecule: ribosomal RNA, 469 nt
Filed under: uncultured bacterium
Lineage: Bacteria
Description: partial 16S ribosomal RNA
Rfam family: Bacterial small subunit ribosomal RNA
Source: RNAcentral
GACGAACGCUGGCGGCGUGCUUAACACAUGCAAGUCGAACGGAAAGGCCCUGCUUGCAGGGUGCUCGAGUGGCGAACGGGUGAGUAACACGUGGGUGAUCUGCCCCUUACUUUGGGAUAAGCCUGGGAAACUGGGUCUAAUACUGGAUAGGACCAUGCUGUAGGUGGUGUGGUGGAAAGUUUAGUUUCGGUAAGGGAUGAGCUCGCGGCCUAUCAGCUUGUUGGUGGGGUAAUGGCCUACCAAGGCGUCGCCGGGUAGCCGGCCUGAGGGGGUGGACGGCCACAUUGGGACUGGGAUACGGCCCAGACUCCUACGGGAGGCAGCAGUGGGGAAUAUUGCACAAUGGGCGCAAGCCUGAUGCAGCGACGCCGCGUGGGGGAUGACGGCCUUCGGGUUGUAAACUCCUUUCAGCCAUGACGAAGCCCUUGUGGUGACGGUAGUGGUAGAAGAAGCACCGGCUAACUACGUG